This 324-nucleotide ribosomal RNA is filed under the name uncultured bacterium. RNAcentral's name for it is "bacterial SSU rRNA". It matches the Rfam family "Bacterial small subunit ribosomal RNA", at positions 29 to 384 of the family's 1533-position model. The record is from RNAcentral.
AACGAACGCUGGCGGCAGGCCUAACACAUGCAAGUCGAACGCUCCGCAAGGGGAGUGGCGCACGGGUGAGUAACACGUGGGAACCUACCUUCUGGUACGGAACAACCAAGGGAAACUUUGGCUAAGACCGUAUACGACCUCCGGGUGAAAGAUUGAUCGCCGGAAGAGGGCCCGCGUCCGAUUAGGUAGUUGGUGAGGUAACGGCUCACCAAGCCUUCGAUCGGUAGCUGGUCUGAGAGGAUGACCAGCCACACUGGACUGAGACACGGCCCAGACUCCUACGGGAGGCAGCAGUGGGGAAUAUUGGACAAUGGGCGCAAGCCU